GGGAACUGAAACAUCUAAGUACCCCGAGGAAAAGAAAUCAACCGAGAUUCCCCCAGUAGCGGCGAGCGAACGGGGAGGAGCCCAGAGCCUGAAUCAGCAUGUGUGUUAGUGGAAGCGUCUGGAAAGGUGCGCGAUACAGGGUGACAGCCCCGUACACAAAAGCGCAUGUGCUGUGAGCUCGAUGAGUAGGGCGGGACACGUGGUAUCCUGUCUGAAUAUGGGGGGACCAUCCUCCAAGGCUAAAUACUCCUGACUGACCGAUAGUGAACCAGUACCGUGAGGGAAAGGCGAAAAGAACCCCGGCGAGGGGAGUGAAAAAGAACCUGAAACCGUGUACGUACAAGCAGUGGGAGCACCCUUCGGGGUGUGACUGCGUACCUUUUGUAUAAUGGGUCAGCGACUUAUAUUCUGUAGCAAGGUUAACCGUAUAGGGGAGCCGUAGGGAAACCGAGUCUUAACCGGGCGUUAAGUUGCAGGGUAUAGACCCGAAACCCGGUGAUCUAGCCAUGGGCAGGUUGAAGGUUGGGUAACACUAACUGGAGGACCGAACCGACUAAUGUUGAAAAAUUAGCGGAUGACCUGUGGCU
This 587-nucleotide ribosomal RNA is filed under the name Salmonella sp. 3203110320160211. RNAcentral describes it as "partial 23S ribosomal RNA". It matches the Rfam family "Bacterial large subunit ribosomal RNA", at positions 188 to 816 of the family's 2925-position model. Lineage: Bacteria; Pseudomonadati; Pseudomonadota; Gammaproteobacteria; Enterobacterales; Enterobacteriaceae. The record is from RNAcentral.